Molecule: ribosomal RNA, 406 nt
Filed under: uncultured bacterium
Lineage: Bacteria
Description: partial 16S ribosomal RNA
Rfam family: Bacterial small subunit ribosomal RNA
Source: RNAcentral
AUUGAACGCUGGCGGCAGGCCUAACACAGGCAAGUCGAACGAGUGGCGGACGGGUGAGUAAUGUCUGGGAAACUGCCCGAUGGAGGGGGAAAACUAAUAGAAACGGUAGCAAAUACCGCAUACCAUCAGAUGUGCCCAGAUGGGUUUAGCUUGUUGGGGGGGUAACGGCUCACCUAGGCGACGCUCCAUAGCUGGUCUGAGAGGAUGACCAGCCACACUGGAACUGAGCCACGGGCCAGACUCCUACGGGAGGAAGCAGUGGGGAAUAUUGCACAAUGGGCGCAAGCCUGAUGCAGCCAUGCCGCGUGUAUGAAGAAGGCCUUCGGGUUGUAAAGUACUUUCAGCGAGGAGGCGUUACUCGCAGAAGAAGCACCGGCUAACUCCGUGCCAGCAGCCGCGGUAAUUC